CUCUCAAGCAUCACGUAGUGGAGAAAUGAAACUUUACCUAACCUAACCUAUUAUUCGCGGGUCUUAGUGUUAAACGGGCUUUCGCGACCGGCUACUCAUGACCGGUAAAUCUGAGUAUAGAAUUAACGUGAUGAUUUAUUUUG
This 143-nucleotide non-coding RNA is filed under the name Ooceraea biroi (clonal raider ant). Lineage: Eukaryota; Metazoa; Arthropoda; Insecta; Hymenoptera; Formicidae. The record is from RNAcentral.